GACGAACGCUGGCGGCGUGCUUAACACAUGCAAGUCGAACGAAGAGCGACGGAAGCUUGCUUCUAUCAAUCUUAGUGGCGAACGGGUGAGUAACGCGUAAUCAACCUGCCCUUCAGAGGGGGACAACAGUUGGAAACGACUGCUAAUACCGCAUACGAUCUGACCUCGGCAUCGAGGAUAGAUGAAAGGUGGCCUCUACAUGUAAGCUAUCACUGAAGGAGGGGAUUGCGUCUGAUUAGCUAGUUGGAGGGGUAACGGCCCACCAAGGCGAUGAUCAGUAGCCGGUCUGAGAGGAUGAACGGCCACAUUGGGACUGAGACACGGCCCAGACUCCUACGGGAGGCAGCAGUGGGGAAUCUUCCGCAAUGGACGAAAGUCUGACGGAGCAACGCCGCGUGAGUGAUGACGGCCUUCGGGUUGUAAAGCUCUGUUAAUCGGGACGAAAGGCCUUUUUGCGAAUAGGGAGAAGGAUUGACGGUACCGGAAUAGAAAGCCACGGCUAACUACGUG
RNAcentral lists this ribosomal RNA (510 nucleotides) under uncultured bacterium. RNAcentral's name for it is "partial 16S ribosomal RNA". It matches the Rfam family "Bacterial small subunit ribosomal RNA", at positions 28 to 507 of the family's 1533-position model. The record is from RNAcentral.